This 381-nucleotide ribosomal RNA is filed under the name uncultured eukaryote. Its description in RNAcentral is "SSU rRNA". It matches the Rfam family "Eukaryotic small subunit ribosomal RNA", at positions 587 to 972 of the family's 1831-position model. The record is from RNAcentral.
AGCUCCAAUAGCGUAUAUUAAAGUUGUUGCGGUUAAAAAGCUCGUAGUUGGAUUUCUGUUGAGGUUGGGCGGUCCGCACUUCGUGCGUGUAUCUGUUUUGACCUUGGCAUCCUUUCAAGAAACGUUGCUGUGCUUAAUUGCAUGGUGCGGAGCUUGAAACUUUUACUUUGAGGAAAUUAGAGUGUUCACGGCAGGCUAUCGCCUUGAAUAUAUUAGCAUGGAAUAAUAACAUAGGAUCUUGGGUCUAUUUUGUUGGUUUCUAGAGCUGAGAUAAUGAUUAAUAGGGACAAUUGGGGGCAUUCGUAUUAACACGUCAGAGGUGGAAUUCUUGGAUUGUGUUACGACGAACUACUGCGAAAGCAUCUGCCAAGGGUGUUUUCA